CAAUAUACUGACGCUGAUGAACGAAAGCGUAGGUAGCCAACAGGAUUAGAUACCCUGGUAGUCUACGCUGUAAACUAUGGUUACUAGCUGUUCGGAGCACAUUAGUGCAUUGAGUGGUUAAGCGAAAGUGAUAAGUAACCCACCUGGGGAGUACGUUUGCAAGAAUGAAACUCAAAGGAAUUGACGGGGGCCCGCACAAGCGGUGGAGCAUGUGGUUUAAUUCGAUGAUACGCGAGGAACCUUACCAAGGCUUAAAUGCAUAUUGACAGUUCACGAAAGUGAAUUUUCUUCGGACAAUUUGCAAGGUGCUGCAUGGUUGUCGUCAGCUCGUGCCGUGAGGUGUCAGGUUAAGUCCUAUAACGAGCGCAACCCCUGUGGUUAGUUACCAGCAUGUAAAGAUGGGGACUCUAGCCAGACUGCCGGUGCAAACCGUGAGGAAGGUGGGGAUGACGUCAAAUCAUCACGGCCCUUACGCCUUGGGCUACACACGUGCUACAAUGGUAUAUACAAUGAGCAGCCAUCUGGUGACAGAGCGCUAAUCUAAAAAGUAUAUCACAGUUCGAAUCGGAGUCUGCAACUCGACUCUGUGAAGCUGGAAUCGCUAGUAAUCGCACAUCAGCCAUGGUGCGGUGAAUACGUUCCCGGGCCUUGUACACACCGCCCGUCAAGCCAUGGAAGCUGGGAGUGCCUGAAGUCCGUAGCCGAAAGGAGCGGCCUAGGGUAAAACUAGUAACUGGGGCUAAGUCGUAACAAGGUA
RNAcentral lists this ribosomal RNA (757 nucleotides) under uncultured bacterium. Its description in RNAcentral is "bacterial SSU rRNA". It matches the Rfam family "Bacterial small subunit ribosomal RNA", at positions 733 to 1498 of the family's 1533-position model. The record is from RNAcentral.